GUCUAAGGCCAUGUCACCCUGAACAAGCCAAUCCUGUCGAUCUCAGAAGCUAAGCAGGGUUGGGCCUGGUUAGUACUUGGAUGGGAGACGACCUAGGAAGACCAGGUGCUGUAGGUG
Molecule: ribosomal RNA, 117 nt
Filed under: Pteropus alecto (black flying fox)
Lineage: Eukaryota; Metazoa; Chordata; Mammalia; Chiroptera; Pteropodidae
Also listed under: 1 other name
Source: RNAcentral